UUCGAGGGCGGGCCGUGGCAAGGAGACCUUCUGGGUCUGCCGGUGAUGGUGUUCGACCGGGCUGCCAACCUUGUUACUGUGCCCGCUCACCAC
This 93-nucleotide non-coding RNA is filed under the name Paraburkholderia bryophila. The record is from RNAcentral. Lineage: Bacteria; Pseudomonadati; Pseudomonadota; Betaproteobacteria; Burkholderiales; Burkholderiaceae.